Long non-coding RNA from Pipistrellus kuhlii (Kuhl's pipistrelle), 585 nucleotides. RefSeq lists it as uncharacterized. Lineage: Eukaryota; Metazoa; Chordata; Mammalia; Chiroptera; Vespertilionidae. The record is from RefSeq and is a predicted model, not a curated record. The transcript has 2 exons.
GGACAGACCACCUCUUCCUUGCACAUUGGCAGUAAUCUGCAAUCCCUGCCUCCACACUGAAGUCACUGAUGUUUCUAAAAUGUUCUCCCCAGUGAGGCUCAAACUGCUUAGUUAGCAACUUGUAUAUGUUCCUUACUCACCUAUACAAAACCAUGUGUCAGUAUUUGAAGAAGUCCACACUUUGUGUCAGUCCACCCCACAGCCAUGCUUCCAUCUUGGAGCUUCUGUUCAUCAUUUAAGAUCCCCCCUCUGAUGAAUGUUGCCCUGAUGGCUUCCUAUACAUUCAGAACUAAACUUCCCCUUUAUCUUUUUCCACGAUAUUGUGUAUGCACAGAGUGAAUACAUUGUUAAUACAUUUAAUUAACAUUUUACAAGAGGCAAUAUAGCCUGGUGCCUUUUAAAAACCAUAAGAUUUUUAAUCCGUUUGAAAUCUGAUUUCAUCAUGAGCUCUGAAUCUCAAGUCAUUUGACCUCUCUGAACCUCAUUUACUCAUCUGUAAAAUGAGAUUCUAGUAAUACCUAUCUCACAGGGUGAUCAUAAUUAUCUGAGAUAAAUUGAAUAAAGCACUUGGAUCAGUAAAUCCAA